Molecule: non-coding RNA, 196 nt
Filed under: Psychrobacter sp.
Lineage: Bacteria; Pseudomonadati; Pseudomonadota; Gammaproteobacteria; Moraxellales; Moraxellaceae
Also listed under: 1 other name
Description: 6S RNA
Rfam family: 6S / SsrS RNA
About the family: E. coli 6S RNA was the first non coding RNA to be sequenced, but its function was unknown until recently.
Source: RNAcentral
ACUAUUCUGAAGUGUUAGCGAGUGGAUGCUAUUUCCCUGAGCCGAUAAUGCUUUACCUGGAUGUGCUACCUAUCGUUUCAUUGUGUAUGCCUGCACUGCUUGCAGUGUAUCAGGAAACCUGCCGAGACGAUGACACAUCCGCCCUGAACUUCACGGUUCAUGGGUCACCAUCCCACGGCGGCACUUCGGUUGUUAU